UAUUAGUUGAAAAUAAUCCAAUCCAGGUUUGAAGAGUCUAGGUGUUGUGGUUUUGGAAUUAGAGCAGUUCUAAUAUGAGCUAGAUGCAAAAAAGGGCAAAAAUGGCAUUUUAUUGAAGUUUCACAAGUCAGAAAAAGGUUUCAUGAAUCAAAAACAAUGUUCUAAAUAUUCUGCUAUUAGUUGAGAAUAAUCUAGUCCAGGUUUGAAGAGUCUAGGUGUUGUAGUUUUGGAAUUGGAGCAGUUAUACUAUGACAUAGAUCCAAAAAACAAUAGUGAAAUCAACCUUCAUUGAAGUUUCACAAAUCAGAAAAAGGUUUCACAAAUCACGAUCAUGGUUCUAAAUAUUCUGCUAUUAGAGCAGAAUAAUCCAGACCAGGUUUGAAGAGUAUGGGUGUUGUAGUUUUUAAACUAGAGUCGAUUAAAGAUGCAGAAGGUAGUGAAAAAUUAGGUGGAAUCACCCUUUAGCCAUUUCUCGAAUCGGAAGCUGGAAUCACGGAAGCUUAUGAUACAUGCGAAGCGUGAGGUACCUACCGCGGCCACCAGGGGGCCCCAAAUAGCAAUUUAUUUUUUUCUUUUUAUCCAUAAAAUAAUGAUUUCUACAUACAUUAUCAAAUAUAUAUUAUUGUAAAAACAAAUCAGUUCACAGUGAAAUUGUGUGUUUUUAAUAUUAUAAUGACACAGAAAUUAUUACUAAAAAAAGAAAAAAAAUCCGCUCUACUGAGGGGACCCCAGUGGCCCUGGGGCCUUAAGCGACUGGUUAGUUUGCUUAUGCUUUGGGCCGGCCCUAAAAAUCCUCUAACGUCCAGCCAGUUUUUCCAAAAAAUCAAAACAAAAGAAAACAAACUUCAUCCCGGCCAAAACAUCCGACUCUCCCCUCUGGGUGGAUCCUUGGAACUCUUGUUCCUUCCAGAGCCUUUCUCCAUCGUACUUUAAGUUAUUUUUUCUUAACAAAAACUCCGCUGCUGCAGCAGCUUCAAACACGCCACGCAUUACUCAUCAAUCUCAGGUGUGUCACCAUCCCAGCUAAAAACACUGGGGCUGGCUGUGCCUUCCACCCCCACCAGUGAACCGUCAAAGGUGCCAAAAUAAAAACAACAAACCAACAAUCAGUUGGUUUCAACAGUUCAUUAAAGGCGGUCAGUCACUGAUCAGGUUACAAUAACUGUGCUUGCAAAAGAAAAUCCUGUUUUUAUUGAGUGACUCUGACUCUGACUCUGAAACUUAAAUUCUUACACAAAUACUAAUGCACAUAGAUUUUAAA
Long non-coding RNA from Xiphophorus couchianus (Monterrey platyfish), 1261 nucleotides. RefSeq lists it as uncharacterized. The transcript is spliced from 2 exons. The record is from RefSeq and is a predicted model, not a curated record. NCBI's taxonomy places the organism in Eukaryota, Metazoa, Chordata, Actinopteri, Cyprinodontiformes, Poeciliidae.